CUUGAGGAGGAUUCUUCUAUGUCCCCUAAAUGAACACACUGAUCUCAUCUGAUUUCAGAAGCUAAGCAGGGUAAAGUCUUGUUAGCAGUUAAAUGGGAAAUGAUGAGGGAGUAGCAGAGACCUUCAGGU
Molecule: ribosomal RNA, 129 nt
Filed under: Pogona vitticeps (central bearded dragon)
Lineage: Eukaryota; Metazoa; Chordata; Lepidosauria; Squamata; Agamidae
Source: RNAcentral